This 3193-nucleotide long non-coding RNA is filed under the name Bemisia tabaci. RNAcentral's name for it is "lncRNA ENSSWEETPG002621". The record is from RNAcentral. Lineage: Eukaryota; Metazoa; Arthropoda; Insecta; Hemiptera; Aleyrodidae.
UCUGGUCUAGCCCAUCAUCUAGGAAUCAAUGGUGAUGGACAUCACUGGAACUCGGCAUUUGGCCGUAAUUUAGGAGGGUAUCCUCCUUACUUGUCGCACUGCGGACCGCCUCAUUCAUCGCAUUUUCCUCACAUACUACCGUUGACUGGCUCCGAUCAUCCAAGAGAAACGUCGCCUAGAGAUUUAUUACGAUCCUCGUCGGAGCCGCUGGGUCCGCUCAACAUCAACGUGGGGAACCACAACCACAGCCACAACCACGCGAGUCCUGCUGGAAAGCUACACCCUCACCCCCACCCCCGCUUAGGUCGGGGGCACCCGUUCCCCAUCGGAGUCGGCCGCCGCGGCAGACGGCACAAGCCCUUUCCGACCUGAAAAACCCCGCGGGCGAUCCCCCGACCGGACCCUCCACUACCGAUGGGCUUCAGAACUCGGUCGCCCCCCGGUUUCCCCCUAGCCUUCCGUUCCAGCAAAACCCCUCGUUUUUCAGCCUUUUCCUGAACCCAUCCCUGUCGACGCAGUGGCUUUACUCGCAGUUCUACCCGAACCCCUAUUCGCAGCUCCACUUAAGGCAGCAGAUCUUCGAGGAUGCCAAGGCCAAGGAAGUGCCUGACAGUCCCAAGUCCGACGACUCCAAAAAAGCUUCCAGUCCAACGCCAACGCCGGAUGAUCAAAACAAAUCGUCUUCCUCCUCCAAGUCCAGCGAUAAGUCCCCGCCGGAAAAGACCUCCAAAAACUCGGACGUUUGGAGGCCGUAUUAGACGUGAAAAAAAUCAGAUCUUUGUCACGGGUAUCUAAAGAUUUACGAGGGUUACGAUUAAUCGAGGUGUAUUACAUUCUCGUUAUGUGGCUGGACAGAUUUACGUUCAGGGUUUUGCCAACUUUUUAAUAAAUUGAAACUUCCGAAUGUUAAUUUUAAAGAAAAAUAAUUGUGUAAAUUUGAAUAUUGUACAUAUAUUUAGUAUUGUUGAAAGAAAAGAAGAAGUUGCGCAGUUUUGAAAACCUGUAAUUGUGCUGGUUCAUUUAUGCUAAAUGCGAUAGAAUCAUAGACCUUACACCCUGAUUGGAAGUUGAUUUCUGAAUGAUUAUGAUGAAUGCAUUAUUGUCAUAAAUAGAUGUUCUCUGAAUUGUUUUAUUAAUCCCUGUGAAUAUGGGUCUGAGAUCAGAGCCUUAUAGCAACCGUUUUGAAGAUACCAAUCAGAUUGGUUCAACGCCAUUCCCUUCAAAAGAACUGUUAUUCCCAACUUUUUAAACCGGUUCGAUCGGAUACCGGAGGAUAUUCAUCGAAAGUUUAUUUUUUAUUAUACACAGACAGCGAACAAAUUGCAACAGACGAUGAUUUGGGGCACUAUACUGCCGUGCUAAGGAAGAACGCCGUAUGAGCAUUCGAGAGUUGCCAAAUUUCCCUCGGUGAAAUGUUUAUUUUUGCGGUAGGUUAUGAAUAUUUUUCCUUGACAUUUUCAGGAACUUCCGGUAAAAUUGCGAACAAAAUUCCCUGAAAAAUUGGAAGGAAAAUAUUCAUAAGUUUACCAAAAAGUUCAUGUUUUAUCGAAAAUAAUUUGGCAACGUCUGAAGGUUCAUACGGCGUUUUUCCUUAGCACGGCAGUAUAGGUUAUUGGUUGCCAGCGAGAGAACCGAUCAUUAUUGUCCUCCAGAGAAAAUUGGAAAACCGAAAAGUCUCAAAGUUGCUUGCAAUUUCGAUUCAGCACAUUGCAACGAGCAACACAAGCUCCAAAAAUCCAACUGAGGGGAGAAUGAGUUCAAUCCGCAGUAUUGCCUGACACCGAACUCUUACAAAGAAGGAAAAACAACAUAAAGGAAAGGUGGCGAUGGAUUUACGAGGAUCCAGCAGUAAUUUUAAUAAAAUAAAAUGAUGCUUGAAUUCAUAUAUUGCCUACUGGUUUAUAAUGUGUAUAAAAUGGUUAGGAAGAAGUCAGUUCUGUAAGUUUAUUAAUGUGUACCUGUACAUAUUUCAUGGUUUUUACUUUCUCGCUCCCCUAGUUUUUAUGUGCAGUUGCAGCCUGAGAGGUGUGAGGGCACAAACCUAGUGUUUUAUCAUUCGAGAUCUUCCAUUGAUUGUCCGAAUUUUGACGCUGUAAUGUGAUAUUCGUUCAUCCAUUGAAAUUUUUACCUUAUUUAUAUAAAAUCUUAGGAGGUGACAAAUUAUGGAUCCGGAAAACCUUAAUCCUUCUUUAUUCGGUUCUUAUUGUUCUGACAUGUUAUCUAGAAUGGAGCUUUCGACAAAACCCAUAACUGUUCUAUUUGACUGAGCUACUAACACUAUAAAUCAUUCCUUCUCAUGCGAUCAUUUUCCAUUUUUGUCUUUUUCAUAUUAGGCGUUGAAAAAUUAAUAUUGAGUCCUGACCGUUUCUUCUUUCAGUCAACAAAAACGGUUUUCAAAAGUCAUAUUUUUCAUGGUAUACAGCAAACCUUAAGAAUUUUAUUCUUUAAUUUUCCGACGGAAGUAAUUUUCAUUGAAUAUUGUAUGAAACAACUCAUUUACAUAGCUUCUCCAAAUGAUGCGCCUCUUAAAUCUAUAUGCUAUUCAGGUCCUGCUGGUAUAAUGGCUUAUUAAAUUAAAAUACCCUUCGAGGUUAACGCGGUGUUUGAAAACAAACCUUCACUGUAAGAAAUUACAGAACUGAUUGCUUUCGUCUGGUGACUCAGCAGGAACGCAGCCGACCUGAUUUGAAUAUUGAAGUCUCCACUGAUGCCAUGGCGCAGUAUAGCUCACAAUCAGUUUUCCGGUGUGCAAACUUAUUUGUUGAGUGCUGUUGACGUAACAUUGACUUUGUAGGAUAGGGUCACUAGUGCGCCUCCAAUAUUUCGUGUAUGCAAUCCGGACAGUCGUCGAACACGAAUAAUUGCAUCAAGAAGUCCGUAGCAAUUUAGCAAGGCGCCGCACACUGUGGUAUUGGACCUGAAAAGCUGGCCAAAACUAUUUAUCACCAGAUAUCGCCGAGUUUUAAAAAUAUUUUACAAUCAGUACUUCUUCUUAAGAGAUAAUAUGCACACUUUAACCACCUAACACGUCAUAUGACAAUUUGCGGAGAGUUUAAAGCGGAUGGAAGAAGCCCUCCAAAAAGCCUUUAAAAGGACGCAAAGUAUCUGACUAAAGCGGUGCAUUUAGACGAGUUUCUCCUUCACCUAUGGUCCACUUUUCGAAAUUAGGACUCUCUAUGACCUCAUUAAUGGU